GAUGAACGCUGGCGGCGUGCCUAAUACAUGCAAGUCGAGCGAACGGACGAGAAGCUUGCUUCUCUGAUGUUAGCGGCGGACGGGUGUGUAACACGUGGAUAACCUACCUAUAAGACUGGGAUAACUUCGGGAAACCGGAGCUAAUACCGGAUGAUAUUUUGAACCGCAUGGUUCAAAAGUGAAAGACGGUCUUGCUGUCACUUAUAGAUGGAUCCGCGCUGCAUUAGCUAGUUGGUAAGGUAAUGGCUUACCAAGGCAACGAUGCAUAGCCGACCUGAGAGGGUGAUCGGCCACACUGGAACUGAGACACGGUCCAGACUCCUACGGGAGGCAGCAGUAGGGAAUCUUCCGCAAUGGGCGAAAGCCUGACGGAGCAACGCCGCGUGAGUGAUGAAGGUCUUCGGAUCGUAAAACUCUGUUAUUGGGGAAGAACAUAUGUGUAAGUAACUGUGCACAUCUUGACGGUACCUAAUCAGAAAGCCACGGCUAACUACGUG
RNAcentral lists this ribosomal RNA (497 nucleotides) under uncultured bacterium. RNAcentral describes it as "partial 16S ribosomal RNA". It matches the Rfam family "Bacterial small subunit ribosomal RNA", at positions 28 to 507 of the family's 1533-position model. The record is from RNAcentral.